UAGUGACCCAGGGUGAAGAAUAUAGUAAUUCUUCACCCUGGUCGAUUGUUCGCGCCACGGUGUGGCUCAACCCAGGAUGAACGAAAGUAAAGUUUUACCCAAAAUUGUAUCCUACCGUCGUAAGAUUACUUUGACGCCGGAAGCGGUUCACUGGCCAUGGUGAUGAGCUAGCCUACUCCCCCGUACAGUUUUCAAUUAGAUGCUUACGGUUUCGACUGUGAACGGCGACUAGCGGGCGGCGAUCGGCGGGUGGGCUCGAUGGUGCGGUGCUCGGCGGAGGAUUCACUCGCUUCCCUGUCCAUCUCCAUCCCGUCCUUUCGUGUGACCUGGAGGCCUACAAUGGCGGCGGGGGCGGAGCGUACUACGAUUUCGACUGCGGCGGCGACCCCUCCCAAAUCCACCCCACUGUUGUGUCAGCGAAGGCUCCUGUGACAACCAAUUUCACCGGAGAAUACGUCUGUGACAGCCCUCCUCUGUAAUGGCGGUACUGCAAAAAGGAGCUUCUGAUGAGGGAGAUCAAGAAGAGGUUGUACCUUGUCCAUGGAAAUGGGAUGGCACCAUGUCAAUGGAGGAAAAGAAUGCCAUGUCAAUGGCAAAGAGGAAGAGGAGCAAAAGGCUCCUGAGGAGGAGGAAGAACACAAGACAAGAUUAUCUUAUUUGAUCCAGCCAAGGGUGAUAGCUCUGUUUCUUCUCUGCUUUUGAUGAACUAUUCCCUCCUUCCUUCGAGCUCCAUUGUUUUGAGCAAAUUGGCUUGGCCCUGCUUAAUCAAUUAAUUUCUCAUGGAAAGAAGAAAAUACUGAAAUUUAAAUUUGUUACCCUUCCUCGAUGGAGGCUGCAUUAUUUUCUUGAGCAGAUAACUCCUAUUCCAUUGUAGGUUCUCUACUUGCUAGAUGCGAGAAAAAAUGGUUGUUCUGAAAAAAGUGUGAUUAAUUAGACAAGAUGACUUGUUUACUUGUAGUUAGUAGCUGCUACUUUGGAUGAAUGAUUUACUCAAAUAGUUAGCUGUUGUAAUUCGCUAGUUUUUCACUAGUCAUUUGAUAACAGAAGAAAGUUAAACUCCAUGUCUCUGUAUCGAAGGAUGCAGGAACAGUAAGGAACCUCAGUUUACAAAGAAAUACGCAUGAUAUCAAUGUGAAUGCUUGAUGCUUCUUUUUUGACACCGGUCAAAGCUAGCUAGCAUAUAUAGUCAUGGUCAUAGCACAUAUUCCAAAGGUAGGCAUGACUCUUAGUUGAUUUCUAUGGGGGGUACUUAUUAAUUCAAACUUUAAGCAUAUACUGUCUUUUCUUCUGAAGCUACAUGAUGCAUCCUUUUUCUCCUCAUUUAAGAUCCAAGCUGCAUAGGUGACUCAUAAUAUAGGGCUGGAUAUUUUCUUGCCACUCACAACAUGUCAACAUACUAAACUCAGUUACGCGGUUUGUAGACAUUCAUUAUAUUAACCGCCAGUUGCCCAACCUGACACUAACAAUUGAUUAUGUCUACUAACUUUGACACCGUAAAGGGAGAUUGCCUAAUUAUGCUGCACUCUGUUUUUUUCUGGAAAGAAUGAAGGAUGGUUUUUUAUUUAUGGAAGUUCAGCUAAUGCCAUUAAAAUUUAGUGAUUAGUAUUUAACUGCCUCUCAGAUCCAGCCAUUACAGUUUUUAUUCAGGCUCCCUUUUCAUCCAGCCAUGAGAACAUGUCGAUGUGCUCUUGUGUCUUGAUGGAAGAACAUGGUAUGAAGCAAUGGUGUCCCCGUGCAUAACAAAUCAAUUGGUUUAAACUACAGAUCUUUCUAUUAGUGCAUAAUGCAGAAACGAUGUACGUAUUGUUUUUCUGUACUUGUAAAAGAACUUGUUAUGUUCCUCUGAUUAUUUCAGGUGUUUGCUUUUACAAGUCAAUCAGUACGUAUGAUUUGAGGGAUUAUAUUAGAUAUAGUGAAUCAGAAAUAUGUUUAAGUUCAAUUUAAUUUUUAGAUCAUAUAACUUGUCUUGUAUUUCUGAAAUGAGCAACCUUAUUCUUCAACUUGCAGAUUUUGUACCGGCUAAAUGUUAUUUUCUUUGGCAAGUUCUUGUACUGUUUCCUGAUUUUCAUGGAGAUGCUGUGGUUUCUUGCUGAUCCAGUUCCAAAAGAAUUUUUUUAGAAAACAGGCACAAUAAGCGCCCGACUUUAAAUUAUUAAAGUAAAGAACGGCCAGAGUACCACAUUGUUGAAGUUGUACAGAACAAAACGGAAAAGCUGGCCAUUGACACACUUGGGAAAGCUUAUCAUUGUUAUAGAUGGUCCUUCCCAGUUCUCUACGCGUGUUGUUAUCUUGUUGGGCAGCAGGGCAGGGAUGAAACAAGACAACAACAUAUUGCUUCAUGUUUGAUUUUAUUCGACUCGCUAUUUGCUUCAUGUCUUAACCUCCUUUGAGCAUCUGUUGGUUCCAUUUUGUGCAGCUGCUGAUGUAAAGGAAUGCAGUGCUAAGCAAAGCGAUAUGAUCAUCAUAUCAAGUGGGCAUCGAUGCCAUUAUGUAGUUUCUCUUGUCAGGGUAUACCACGCGCGGAUUAUAAUUAUCUCUGAUUCGAAUUGUAUGCACACAAAGCUUCACAUGUUAUUACUGGUAUAUACAAAGACUGUACUCUAUGGAGGCCUA
Aegilops tauschii subsp. strangulata is the source of this 2613-nucleotide long non-coding RNA. RefSeq lists it as uncharacterized. The record is from RefSeq and is a predicted model, not a curated record. Lineage: Eukaryota; Viridiplantae; Streptophyta; Magnoliopsida; Poales; Poaceae.